RNAcentral lists this ribosomal RNA (307 nucleotides) under uncultured eukaryote. RNAcentral describes it as "partial 18S ribosomal RNA". It matches the Rfam family "Eukaryotic small subunit ribosomal RNA", at positions 1470 to 1796 of the family's 1831-position model. The record is from RNAcentral.
CCCUUAGACGUUCUGGGCCGCACGCGCGCUACACUGACACAGGCAACGAGCUUUCCUUUACCGACAGGUAUGGGUAAUCUUUUGAAACUGUGUCGUGCUGGGGAUAGAUCCUUGCAAUUUUUGAUCUUAAACGAGGAAUUCCUAGUAAGCGCGAGUCAUCAACUCGCGUUGAUUACGUCCCUGCCCUUUGUACACACCGCCCGUCGCUACUACCGAUUGAAUGGCUUAGUGAGGCCUCAGGAUCCGCGCUUAAUGUGUGGAGAAUUUGGACAAACUACGUCAUUUAGAGGAAGUAAAAGUCGUAACA